CAAGAAGCGCAGCGAAAAUGGACGAGAAGAAGAAAACAGCGGAGGCUGCAACAGAGACAUGUAUAUGAAAAUUCUGGUUACCCAUGCCUGCGUUGCAGCCUCCACUGAUUUCUUCUUCUUUUCCAGGUUGGCUGCGUUUUUUU
Molecule: microRNA precursor, 143 nt
Filed under: Ectocarpus siliculosus
Lineage: Eukaryota; Phaeophyceae; Ectocarpales; Ectocarpaceae
Description: miR3468 stem-loop (esi-MIR3468)
Source: miRBase by way of RNAcentral